AUUGAACGCUGGCGGCAGGCCUAACACAUGUAAGUCGAACGAGUGGCGGACGGGUGAGUAAUGUCUGGGAAACUGCCUGAUGGAGGGGGAUAACUACUGGAAACGGUAGCUAAUACCGCAUACCAUCGGAUGUGCCCAGAGGGGAGUAGCUAGUAGGUGGGGUAACGGCUCACCUAGGCGACGAUCCCUAGCUGGUCUGAGAGGAUGACCAGCCACACUGGAACUGAGACACGGUCCAGACUCCUACGGGAGGAAGCAGUGGGGAAUAUUGCACAAUGGGGGCAAGCCUGAUGCAGCCAUGCCGCGUGUAUGAAGAAGGCCUUCGGGUUGGAAAGUACUUUCAGCGGGGAGGCGUUACCCGCAGAAGAAGCACCGGCUAACUCCGUGCCAGCCGCCGCGGUAAUAC
This 406-nucleotide ribosomal RNA is filed under the name uncultured bacterium. Its description in RNAcentral is "partial 16S ribosomal RNA". It matches the Rfam family "Bacterial small subunit ribosomal RNA", at positions 30 to 526 of the family's 1533-position model. The record is from RNAcentral.